This 107-nucleotide small nucleolar RNA is filed under the name Jatropha curcas. RNAcentral describes it as "Plant small nucleolar RNA R71". It matches the Rfam family "Plant small nucleolar RNA R71". From Rfam's summary of the family: R71 is a member of the C/D box family of snoRNAs containing the C (UGAUGA) and D (CUGA) box motifs. Multiple nearly identical copies of this snoRNA have been identified in Arabidopsis, and it is thought to function as a 2'-O-ribose methylation guide for 18S ribosomal RNA. Lineage: Eukaryota; Viridiplantae; Streptophyta; Magnoliopsida; Malpighiales; Euphorbiaceae. The record is from Rfam by way of RNAcentral.
AAGCUGUGAUGUGGGCACUUUCUCAAUAAAUCAUUGAAUCUCUCCCAAGCUUCAUACAAACUCUCUUGAUCAUGGUGGACAAAGGUCAUUAUCUCAUUAUGUAGUUU